Non-coding RNA from Python bivittatus (Burmese python), 445 nucleotides. The record is from the annotation of a RefSeq genome assembly. NCBI's taxonomy places the organism in Eukaryota, Metazoa, Chordata, Lepidosauria, Squamata, Pythonidae.
UGUCCUGCCUGUUGCCGAGAAAGAAGGAUGGGCGAUCUUGGGAGCAGCAUUGUCGCCUUGCUCUUGACCAUAGUCCCAGUUGUAUCAGGUCAGGCCACUGUCACCCAAGAGGACCAAUUUCUUUCCAUCAAGGAAGGAGAAUCCAUCCGGAUGAACUGCUCCUAUACGGAAACAGGAUACAGUCUUCAGUGGUACAGGCAAUAUCCAGGGGGCCAGCCAGAGUUCAUGAUCUUACUGACAAGCUCAAUGACUCAAGAAAAGGAUGAUUUUAAAAUGAGUCUGGACACAGACCAGAAGACCACCUCUUUGUAUCUGAAGAGACACCCGGCUGAAUGAUUCAGCUGUCUAUUUCUGUGCAUGGAGCACAGUGGUACAAAGACACAUCCUGGCUGUCACCAAAGGUGGAGAGCAACCCAGGAGGAGAACUGGAGCCAUCUACUGGUGA